This 350-nucleotide ribosomal RNA is filed under the name uncultured bacterium. RNAcentral describes it as "bacterial SSU rRNA". It matches the Rfam family "Bacterial small subunit ribosomal RNA", at positions 77 to 430 of the family's 1533-position model. The record is from RNAcentral.
AGCUUGCUCCGCUGACGAGUGGCGAACGGGUGAGUAAUGUAUCGGAACGUACCAUUCAGUGGGGGAUAACGUAGCGAAAGUUACCCUAAUACCGCAUAUUCUGUGCCCAGGAAAGCAGGGGAUCGCAAGACCUUGCGCUGAUUGAGCGGCCGAUAACAGAUUAGCUAGUUGGUGAGGUAAAAUCUUACCAAGGCGACGAUCUGUACCGGGUCUGAAAGGAUGAUCCGCCACACUGGAACUGACAGCCCGGCCACAUUCCUACUCCAGGCAGCAUUGGGGAAUUUCGGACAAUGGGGGCAACCCUGAUCCAACCAUGCCGCGUGAGUGAAGAACGCCUUCUGGUUGUAAAG